UUCUAUUUCUACUUCACUUUCAACAACACUUGGAUUUUUGGCUUCAAAUCUUCAUUUUUAAGGCUGAAAGGUAUAUAUUUUCAACUUUUGAAAUUUUUGAAUUUAUGGUUAUAUUUUCAUAUUUUAUUUCCUAAUUUCUUCAAGUUAUUUUUCUUGGAAAUAUUAGGUUUUUGUUGAUCUUCAUGUCUCCAAGCUCACCAAGGUAAAGAAUCUUUACAUUUGGAAUAGUUGAUAUGAUGGGUUGGAGAAUUAGACUAGAAAUUUAGGUUAAAUGUUAGGUUAGAGGGUAGAUUGCCUAAUGUAAAUUUAUUAGAAUUAUUAGAUUCAAUUUAUGACUUGAUUGAGGUUGUUAUGGUUUAUUGGUAAAUAUAGGUUUUAAUGGUGUUUUGGGACUACCAGGAUUAAGACUUUGUGGACAUUAGUCUUGUAAAUUGCCCUUGUUGAGGUGAGUGAACUUGCAUAAAAAUAUUUUGGUAUUAAAGCGCAUGUGUUUGAAUGAAUUUCAUGAAAUGUUUUAUUAGCCUUUUCUUUAAAAUAUGCAUGGGAACAAGCCCUUGAUGAAACAUUUUUACAUUAUGGAAUGUGACUGUGACGAAUCCAUGUGCUAUUGUAUUAUGUUGGUAUAUAUAUAUAUAUAUAUAUGUUGUGUGUUGAUAAUUAUGAUUGUGCAUGCAGGAUGUGGGGGUGCACACGAUGAUGAUGAUGAUAUAUGCCAUGUGCGUGAUGUUGGGGGAGCACAUGAUGGCAUUAGUUGUGAGAGAUGUGGGGGUGCACACGAUGACUUCGGCUAUGUGCGGUGCAGAGUGCACAUGAGCUGGGUGAGGUGGUUGUUG
RNAcentral lists this long non-coding RNA (833 nucleotides) under Theobroma cacao (cacao). Its description in RNAcentral is "long non-coding RNA (TCAC_LNC004666)". The record is from RNAcentral. Lineage: Eukaryota; Viridiplantae; Streptophyta; Magnoliopsida; Malvales; Malvaceae.